GUAAAAUCCUUCUCCUUUCCUUCCGUUCUUCAUCAUCUUUCUCUCUUUUUGCAAAUCUCAUUCUUCAUUUUCUCUCUUUUUGAGGCAAAGGAAAAUCUCAUUCCUCUCUUUCUCAAGCAACUCUAAUUCUUCUUUGCAAGGUCUUGGCUUAAGGUAUGGCAUCUUCUUGUUCUUUUUUUUUGGGGGGGGUUGGGUAAAUUCAUCUAUUUAGGGUUUUUUUGAAUGUUCUUAUUGUUCUCAUAGUUUUUGACAAAAAUAUACGCUUUUUUUUAUUUUUUUUGACGAAUCUCAAAUCAUGAGGCCGAAUCUCAAUUACUUAAAUAUGUAGGUCUUGCUCUUUUUCCCUGAAUUUAUAGAAUGAAAUCCCAGACAAGCAGAGCUGAUCAAAUGUUUUGAAUGUUUCUAGCAAUAAGUUGUCUGAUGUCUAGGUCACGCCUAAUAGAUGCUCAUUUUAUAAGCAAUGCGAACUUGCAUAUUAAACAAAUCAUCAAAAUAUGACAUUAUCAUUCAGUAGAAACUUUGAUUUGUUAUAUGGUUAUAGAAAUUGAGUAGGGUAGAAGUGAACCGUAUGGUCAAAACUAAGCAAAUGAGCUUUGGUUUAAGUUUGUUUUUAUACUUCUAUUGAGCUAAAUUUGUUUGAAACUACUUGGAUUCAAAGAGUAUAUACACCCAUGUCUCACACUUUUCAAUAUUCAAAACUCUCUUCUAGUCAUAUAGGAAACAUAAGCAUCCUUGCUUUCCAUAGAUGAAGAAACGAAGAGUUGAGAAAGAUGAGUGAAUUAAGGUUAUCUUGUAGAAUUUGGUGUAGGGAAUUGAUGAAGUUGGUUCAACACUAUUUGGCAGGUUGCUUGGUUUUAGUUGAUGGAUUAGUCCAAACAUCAAAACAGCUGCCAUAAUGUAAUAUUAGAUGAAAGAUGAAAGCAUCAGCAUCUUUUUCUUUUUCAAGCUAAUUAAUAUGGUUUUGGGCUUUGAGACUAUAUAGCUCCCCCAAUUCAAGCAGGGAUUUUUGUGUAAAUAAAUUACUUUUGCUCUUUUUU
This 1037-nucleotide long non-coding RNA is filed under the name Gossypium barbadense (sea-island cotton). Its description in RNAcentral is "long non-coding RNA (GBAR_LNC010806)". Lineage: Eukaryota; Viridiplantae; Streptophyta; Magnoliopsida; Malvales; Malvaceae. The record is from RNAcentral.